RNAcentral lists this ribosomal RNA (334 nucleotides) under uncultured Butyrivibrio sp. Its description in RNAcentral is "partial 16S ribosomal RNA". The record is from RNAcentral. Lineage: Bacteria; Bacillati; Bacillota; Clostridia; Lachnospirales; Lachnospiraceae.
GGAGUCUGGGCCGUGUCUCAGUCCCAAUGUGGCCGGUCGCCCUCUCAGGCCGGCUACGGAUCAUCACCUUGGUGGGCCGUUACCUCACCAACUAGUUAAUCCGACGCGGACCCAUCCUUGGCCGAUAAAUCUUUCCUCCUGCGAUCAUGCGGUCACAGGAUCUAUGCGGUAUUAGCACCCGUUUCCGGUUGUUAUCCCCCUGCCAAGGGUAGGUUGUCCACGUGUUACUCACCCAUCCGCCGCUAAGAUAACCACGGUGGAAUCAGACGAAUCUUCUUCCGGUGUGGUAUCUCCGCUCGACUUGCAUGUGUUAGGCACGCCGCCAGCGUUCAUC